This 381-nucleotide ribosomal RNA is filed under the name uncultured archaeon. Its description in RNAcentral is "bacterial SSU rRNA". It matches the Rfam family "Archaeal small subunit ribosomal RNA", at positions 345 to 727 of the family's 1478-position model. The record is from RNAcentral.
AAACUUUGCAAUGUGCGAAAGCACGACAAGGUUAAUCCGAGUGAUUCCUGCUAAAGGAAUCUUUUGUUAGUCGUAAAACCACUGAUGAAUAAGGGGUGGGCAAGUUCUGGUGUCAGCCGCCGCGGUAAAACCAGCACCUCAAGUGGUCAGGAUGUUUAUUGGGCCUAAAGCAUCCGUAGCCGGCUUUGUAAGUUUUCGGUUAAAUCUAUAUGCUCAACAUAUAGGCUGCCGGGAAUACUGCAAAGCUAGGGAGUGGGAGAGGUAGACGGUACUCCGUAGGAAGGGGUAAAAUCCUUUGAUCUAUAGAAGACCACCAGUGGCGAAGGCGGUCUACCAGAACACGUCCGACGGUGAGGGAUGAAAGCUGGGGGAGCAAACCGG